This is a long non-coding RNA of Dunckerocampus dactyliophorus (ringed pipefish), 1024 nucleotides long. RefSeq lists it as uncharacterized. NCBI's taxonomy places the organism in Eukaryota, Metazoa, Chordata, Actinopteri, Syngnathiformes, Syngnathidae. The record is from RefSeq and is a predicted model, not a curated record. The transcript has 4 exons.
UCAUCAUGUUUGUUCAGCCAUGGUGGCAUUUAUCUGCCCCUGAGUUGAGUUAAGCUAAAUAUUUUGGCUGUUGUCCAGCGAGGUCACUUGCCUCACAGAACCAUGUGAUGUGUGCAAAGCAUUUCAACUGGGGCAACGGUGGCGCACACACAAUGGACUACAUUGUGUGUUAUCAUGCUUCACCUGGCCUCAGACCUGUUGCAUGAUGUCUUGCGUGCUAACUUGCGUGCUAACAGCAUGUGUUUUAGUCGUAAAGCCUGGAGGAUGACAAGUGGCAUGCAGAUACAGAUGUUAAGAUGACCUUCUCACUUUGGAGAGGGACAAACUGCAGCCAAAGGCAGCAGAUCUACUGAUCCGAUGUUAUACAAGGGAUACGUGCCUGGUGGGAUAGGAUUUGACCAGAAAAGAACAUGCAAGGAAUUCUUCAUCUGUAAUUAUCCGCCACGCAGUUGUUUAUAGGGGCUCAGCUGUAAUUGGAGAGCUCAGCUUUUCAUCCGGACCGACUGGGCUGUGGCGUUGCCAGGCACCUGGAAACCAGUUAAGACGCACACUGAGUCACACCACUACGCUUUUCCAUCUCCAUUUCUAUCAUCACACAUUCUGUCUGGUGUUUUACCUGUUGAUUUUUCCAAAUUUGUCGACAAAUUUUGACAUUUUAUUUCAAACUCCAGAUGAAGCCUGAUUGGCUAUUUGCUACAAAAGAAUGAGAUAUUAUAGUCCAUUUCUGUCCUUCAAAAUCUCUUAAAUGACUGGGAUGUGUGAUGGCAUUGAACGUCACCCAGAAGAUUUAUCUGAUAAAUGCACCAUCUCAGUUCACAAGUCACGGCGCUGCAUCAUCAUUGUGUCUGUUCCUGCCACUCUACAUGUUAUUAUGAUCAAUCCUAGAACAGCAGUCGCAGCACCUUUCCAUUUAAAUUGAACCAUCAUCAGGGUGAAGAUUCUGUUCAGUGUGGUCUCGCGGUAAACGUGUGCUAUGGGAAGAAAAAUCAAUAGAAACUGUUAUUAAUAUAUAAUCAUACAUCAA